This 253-nucleotide ribosomal RNA is filed under the name uncultured bacterium. RNAcentral describes it as "partial 16S ribosomal RNA". It matches the Rfam family "Bacterial small subunit ribosomal RNA", at positions 524 to 776 of the family's 1533-position model. The record is from RNAcentral.
UACGUAGGGUGCGAGCGUUAAUCGGAAUUACUGGGCGUAAAGCGUGCGCAGGCGGUUCGCCAAGUCAGGUGUGAAAUCCCCGGGCUUAACCUGGGAAUUGCGCUUGAAACUAGCGGGCUUGAGUGUGGCAGAGGGGGGUGGAAUUCCACGUGUAGCAGUGAAAUGCGUAGAUAUCAGGAGGAAUACCGAUGGCGAAGGCAGGUCUUUGGGCUGACACUGACGCUCAUGCACGAAAGCGUGGGGAGCAAACAGG